Molecule: ribosomal RNA, 569 nt
Filed under: Gobiodon reticulatus (reticulate goby)
Lineage: Eukaryota; Metazoa; Chordata; Actinopteri; Gobiiformes; Gobiidae
Description: partial 16S ribosomal RNA
Rfam family: Bacterial large subunit ribosomal RNA
Source: RNAcentral
CGCCUCUUGUCCCUCAUAAUAAGAGGUCCCGCCUGCCCUGUGACGAAAGUUUAACGGCCGCGGUAUUCUGACCGUGCGAAGGUAGCGUAAUCACUUGUCUUUUAAAUGGAGACCUGUAUGAAUGGCAUAACGAGGGCUAGACUGUCUCCUUUCCCCAGUCAAUGAAAUUGAUCUCCCCGUGCAGAAGCGGGGAUCCUAACAUAAGACGAGAAGACCCUAUGGAGCUUUAGACCCCACAACAAACCACGUCAAAACCCUUAAACCACUAAGACUAAACAAAGUGCCUCCCCUGCUGCGGGUCUUUGGUUGGGGCGACCGCGGAGAAACAACAAACCCCCGCAUGGUACGGGCCAUACCCUUAAAGCCAGAGCCACAGCUCUAACGAACAGAACAUCUGACCUUCAAGAUCCGGCAUUGCCGAUUAACGGACCGAGUUACCCUAGGGAUAACAGCGCAAUCCUCUUUCAGAGCCCAUAUCGACAAGAGGGUUUACGACCUCGAUGUUGGAUCAGGACCACCUAAUGGUGCAGCCGCUAUUAAGGGUUCGUUUGUUCAACGAUUAAAGUCCU